CUGGCGUAUUAAGAAGUGUGUCAUCGGCCGGUGCUAAGAGACUAAGAGGCUAACAACCACUUUAUCUCCUGCCAGAAGAUUUUGGAAGCGGUGUGGGUUGCUGUGGACGCUCAAUUAGUAUGAGGUUUAGAAAGCUCUCAGAUUUCAUCAGAAAUAUCUUAACUUGAGUUCUAAAGAUGAACAACGGUCUUACGGGUUUGGAACAACAUGCAGUUAAACUGCCUGCUGUUCUUCAGAAAAAUCUCAGAAGGUUCAAAUGAACACUGAUGUUUCCGAAGGAAACACGAUGCAUUAAGAGCCAAGGGUGAAAACUUUUGAACAGAAUGAAGAAAAACAAAGGUCUUAUGGGUUUGAAAUUACAUGAAGGGUCAGAAAGCUCUCGGAUUUCAUCAAAAAUGUCUUAAUUUGUGUUCUGAAGAUGAACAAUGGGCUUGGAACGACAUGAGGGAUCUAGAUGCCAUCCUUUCAAUCGGACUGACCUCUGACCUCGGCUGAGAACUGGGCGGAAUGUCUGGUUAUGAAAAGCUGUAGUUGUUGGUCCAGGUCACAUUCUGAAACACUGAUGUCCCAGGAACGGAUACCUGCAGAUCCUCAGCACCUUUGGGAUUUAAAGUACAGACGCUUUGACUGGCACGUCCAAAAUUUUGCUGUCUGGCCAGUAACUGGCCUAACUUAAAUGCUGAGCUGAGGCGCUGAAAUGGAUCUGGCAGUUUUCACAUAAGCUGCAGAGCAAAUACCUCAGAAAUCCAGACGGCAGCUGCAGGACUUUGGAUAAAUAUCGCAGCAGCUCAGCGUUGGCCUCUCCGUCUGUCGGCGGUGCGGCAAUGGCGACACCCAC
Molecule: long non-coding RNA, 838 nt
Organism: Labeo rohita (rohu)
Lineage: Eukaryota; Metazoa; Chordata; Actinopteri; Cypriniformes; Cyprinidae
Exons: 7
Source: RefSeq, a predicted model, not a curated record